Molecule: ribosomal RNA, 325 nt
Filed under: uncultured bacterium
Lineage: Bacteria
Description: bacterial SSU rRNA
Rfam family: Bacterial small subunit ribosomal RNA
Source: RNAcentral
GACGAACGCUGGCGGCGUGCUUAACACAUGCAAGUCGAACGAAGCACUUAAGAUUGAUUCUUCGGAUGAAGUCUUUUGUGACUGAGUGGCGGACGGGUGAGUAACGCGUGGGUAACCUGCCUCAUACAGGGGGAUAACAGUUAGAAAUGACUGCUAAUACCGCAUAAGCGCACAGGACCGCAUGGUCUGGUGUGAAAAACUCCGGUGGUAUGAGAUGGACCCGCGUCUGAUUAGCUAGUUGGUAAGGUAACGGCUUACCAAGGCAACGAUCAGUAGCCGACCUGAGAGGGUGACCGGCCACAUUGGGACUGAGACACGGCCCAAA